Molecule: ribosomal RNA, 253 nt
Filed under: uncultured prokaryote
Description: partial 16S ribosomal RNA
Rfam family: Bacterial small subunit ribosomal RNA
Source: RNAcentral
UACGGAGGGUGCGAGCGUUGUCCGGAAUCACUGGGCGUAAAGGGCGCGUAGGCGGUUUGGUAAGCGUGCGGUGAAAGCCCGGGGCUCAACCCCGGGUCGGCCGUGCGGACUGCGGGACUGGAGCACUGUAGAGGCGGGUGGAAUUCCGGGUGUAGCGGUGGAAUGCGUAGAGAUCCGGAAGAACACCGGUGGCGAAGGCGGCCCGCUGGGCAGUGGCUGACGCUGAGGCGCGACAGCGUGGGGAGCAAACAGG